RNAcentral lists this ribosomal RNA (496 nucleotides) under uncultured bacterium. RNAcentral's name for it is "partial 16S ribosomal RNA". It matches the Rfam family "Bacterial small subunit ribosomal RNA", at positions 29 to 507 of the family's 1533-position model. The record is from RNAcentral.
AUGAACGCUGGCGGCGUGCCUAAUACCUGCAAGUCGCGCGAACAGACGAGGAGCUUGCUCCUCUGACGUUAGCGGCGGACGGGUGAGUAACACGUGGAUAACCUACCUAUAAGACUGGGAUAACUUCGGGAAACCGGAGCUAAUACCGGAUAACAUGUUGAACCGCAUGGUUCAACAGUGAAAGACGGUCUUGCUGUCACUUAUAGAUGGAUCCGCGCCGCAUUAGCUAGUUGGUAAGGUAACGGCUUACCAAGGCAACGAUGCGUAGCCGACCUGAGAGGGUGAUCGGCCACACUGGAACUGAGACACGGUCCAGACUCCUACGGGAGGCAGCAGUAGGGAAUCUUCCGCAAUGGGCGAAAUCCUGACGGAGCAACGCCGCGUGAGUGAAGAAGGUCUUCGGAUCGUAAAACUCUGUUAUUAGGGAAGAACAAAUGUGUAAGUAACUAUGCACGUCUUGACGGUACCUAAUCAGAAAGCCACGGCUAACUACGUG